AUGAACGCUCGCUACAGGCUUAACACAUGCAAGUCGCGGGGCAGCAUGGGGGUUGCUUGCAAUCCCCGAUGGCGACCGGCGCACGGGUGAGUAACGCGUAUCCAACCUGCCCUUCACCACGGGAUAACCCGGCGAAAGUCGGACUAAUACCGUAUGUUGUCCAUUGACGGCAUCCGAUUUGGACGAAAGGCUUGGCGGUGAGGGAUGGGGAUGCGUCCGAUUAGCCAGACGGCGGGGUAACGGCCCACCGUGGCUACGAUCGGUAGGGGUUCUGAGAGGAAGGUCCCCCACACUGGAACUGAGACACGGUCCAGACUCCUACGGGAGGCAGCAGUGAGGAAUAUUGGUCAAUGGGCGUAAGCCUGAACCAGCCAAGUAGCGUGCAGGAUGACGGCCCUAUGGGUUGUAAACUGCUUUUAUGCGGGGAUAAAGUGGCCCACGUGUGGGCUUUUGCAGGUACCGCAUGAAUAAGGACCGGCUAAUUCCGUG
RNAcentral lists this ribosomal RNA (489 nucleotides) under uncultured bacterium. RNAcentral describes it as "partial 16S ribosomal RNA". It matches the Rfam family "Bacterial small subunit ribosomal RNA", at positions 29 to 507 of the family's 1533-position model. The record is from RNAcentral.